GACGAACGCUGGCGGCGUGCUUAACACAUGCAAGUCGAGCGGAAAGGCCACUUCGGUGGUACUCGGGCGGCGAACGGGUGAGUAACACGUGAGUAAUCUGCCCCUGGCUUUGGGAUAGCCACCGGAAACGGUGAUUAAUACCGGAUACAACCACUUCUCGCAUGGGAUGGUGGUGGAAAGUUUUUUCGGCCAGGGAUGUGCUCGCGGCCGAUCAGCUUGAUGGUGAGGUAAUGGCUCACCAUGGCUUCGACGGGUAGCCGGCCUGAGAUGGUGACCGGUCACACUGGGACUGAGACACGGCCCAGACUCCUACGGGAGGCAGCAGUGGGGAAUAUUGGACAUGGGCGGAAGCCUGAUCCAGCAACGCCGCGUGAGGGAUGACGGCCUUCGGGUUGUAAACCUCUUUCAGCAGGGACGAAGCGCAAGUGACGGUACCUGCAGAAGAUGCACCGGCCAACUACGUGCCAGCAGCCGCGGUAA
RNAcentral lists this ribosomal RNA (480 nucleotides) under uncultured bacterium. Its description in RNAcentral is "partial 16S ribosomal RNA". It matches the Rfam family "Bacterial small subunit ribosomal RNA", at positions 28 to 523 of the family's 1533-position model. The record is from RNAcentral.